This 614-nucleotide ribosomal RNA is filed under the name Cryptophyceae sp. RCC4843. RNAcentral describes it as "bacterial SSU rRNA". It matches the Rfam family "Eukaryotic small subunit ribosomal RNA", at positions 612 to 1238 of the family's 1831-position model. The record is from RNAcentral. Lineage: Eukaryota; Cryptophyceae.
GUUGAGUUCAAAGCUCGUAGUUCGGUCGUCGGGCUCGGGAAGCUGUCGGACUUUGGUCGGACGGCAGUAACGGGGCUUUCUGCCUGAGGAACCCGGUGGCUUUCACGAGCCGCCGUUGGUUGCAGGUGGUUUACUUUAAAAAAAUUAGAGAGUGCAAAGCAAACAAGCGCUUGAAUACAUUAGCAUGGAAGCUGGAAUACCUCUUUGGGGCUAUUUUGUUGGUUUAUCCGACCCAAGUGUGAUUAAUUUAACGCCGGGGACCGUUUAUAUUUCGUUGUCAGAGGUGAAAUUCUCGCCGUUACGAGAGAUAAACUUCUGCGAAAGCAUUCGGCAAGGAUGUUUUCAUUGAUCAAGAACGAAAGUUAGGGGGAUCGAAGACGAUCAGAUACCGUCGUAGUCUUAACCAUAAACUAUGCCGACUAGGGAUCAGUGGAUGUCAAUUUGCGACUCCAUUGGCACCUUGUGAGAAAUCAAAGUUUUUGUGUUCCGGGGGGAGUAUGGUCGCAAGGCUGAAACUUAAAGGAAAUUGACGGAAGGGCACCACCAGGAGUGGGAGCCUGCGGUCUUAAUUUGACUCACACGGGGAAACUUACCACGGUCCAGACAUAGGAAAG